Molecule: long non-coding RNA, 927 nt
Organism: Oryza brachyantha (malo sina)
Lineage: Eukaryota; Viridiplantae; Streptophyta; Magnoliopsida; Poales; Poaceae
Exons: 3
Source: RefSeq, a predicted model, not a curated record
CCCGACUAGCCGGCUCUGGCCCCCGCCCCCACCCUGACGCUGAUCGAUGGAGAGCCCAUCGAAGGAGGGGGGAGGGGAACUGGCGAUGGAGAUCGAGUCCUCUGUCACAGCGGAGGACUGGCGGCACGUGUUCUCCCGGGUGGUGCCCUCCGUCGUCGUCCUCCGCACCAUCGCGUCGUAGGCAUUUGACACCGAUCGAGGUCGCCGCCGCGCCCAGGGGCCAGGCGUCGCCGUCCCCGGCCACCCGCCGCCCUCGCCGCUUCCCGCGCCGCCGCGCCCAGGCUAAGAAGCAUGGGUCGGCCGCGGCACAGCUCGUCGUCCCCGGCCACUCCGCCGCCCUCGCCGCGCCCAGUCGUCGCCAUCCCCGGCCACUCUCGCGAAGGUUUGGAAACUUGGGAACAACAUGCCCAGCAAUAGGGUAUGAAGUUUGUACUUAGAUGAGACAUUGAUAGGUGAGACAUGUUUGGCCCUGAGGAAAUCGGUUGAGUAUUCUCAAAAGAUUGCUUUGUCGAGCAAACUGUUUUAAGACCAUUUUAUUGAGCACACAAGCAAUAUUGGUUGGAGGGAGUAAGAACACUCUUAUACUGUGUGAGCCAGCCGACAUCCGAGCGCGUGCUACCUCACAAGAAGAGGGGCCGGCCGUUGGGCUCCGGCAACAAACAGCAGCAGCUGCCGCAACAGAAGAAGAAGGCAGCAGCUCCAGGUUGAUCUGGUUUCUACUGUCCAGAUUGCUGACAAAGAGUAUGCGCUCUAGGCUCUUUCAUCUACUGACAGUCAUAGUUGUUGGCAUUUAAAAACUUUUGUCUAUGGCAACCAUCAUUUGCUUAUUGGAAGAUCCACUGUAUUCAUUUUCCACUUUCACAGUGUUGCAGUAUCUGUAUAGUUGACUACUAGGCUAAGUACAUUAGCUGAAAUAUACAGUUUUGU